AGAAUGCAACAUCCACUGCUUGACAUGUUUCAAUAUUGCAUGAAUCAUGAGAAUCUUGAGAAAAAUCCCCAAAAAGAAGUAACUAAACUUUUUCCCCUUUUAAUUUCCUGUUUAACAAGCACACUCUUCCAGAAACAUUAGAGAUCCAUCAUAAACUGCUGUACAUAUUGCUUCCAGAUCUUCUUUCCUUGUUGGGAUUAACACUUCUCAAUUUUAUACACAAGAAAUUAUAUUCUAGGAUUCAAAAUCUCUUGUCAGGUUAUUGAGAUUGUAAAUGUACAUGGGUCGGCUACUAUUAUAUAUAUAUAUAAGCAUCCUUCCGAAUACAGUGAAAAUAAAGGCAACUUGAUUCUCCUCCAGUCAACAAUGUGUCUGGAAAGUGGAAAGUAAGACUAUCCAUUCACACAGCUACGUAGCAAAAUUCCAUUCUCCAUGUUGUGGUCCAAACAUUGAAAAUUUCAUACCUUUUAUUAUCUAUCACUAAACUAAAAAUUUCUUACCUUCUUCUAUGAUCCAUCACCAAAGUGAAAUAAAAAUGAUAGCAUUUCAUUCCCCCGGGAGUCUAAUUUAUCUCCUGAAAGAAACAUAUUAACUCUUCCAUUUUGCACUAUCCAACUGCAUCCUGGGACCUUCCUCACACCCUUCAAACACAUCUCUUUCCUCAAAUUUUGUACCUCAAUAUGUUGGCCACUUGCAGCAUAGAUAUUGGAGAGCAGUACAUGGGCAGAUGCAUUCAGUGGAUCCAUCUCAAGGAGUCUUGUGGCAGCUCUUUUAGCAAUGUCUGCAUUUUUCUCACUAAAACGACAUACACCAAGCAAUGCACCCCAAAUAGCCUGAUUUCUUUCAACAGGCAGUCCCAAAAUGAAUUCUUCUGCUUCUUUCACUUUCCCUGCUCGGCCCAAAAUAUUGAUCAUACAAAUGUAAUGUUCCAAACCUGGUUGAAUUGCAUAUACAUCACUCAUUGCAUUAUAUAAUUCCCAUCCUUGACUGAUGAAUCCUGCAUGGCCACAUGCUGAUAGGACACCCAGAAAGGUAAUCGAAUUUGGAUGAGUUCCAGAUUCCAGCAUGACUUCAAAAACUUUUAGCGCUUCAUUUGCAAGUCCGUGAUGUGAAAAUCCCAUGAUCAUGGAAUUCCAAGAAAUCAGAUCACGAGAAGUCAUGUGUGAGAAUAUUCUAUAUGCACUAUGUAUCUCGCCACAUUUUGCAUACAUGGAGAUCAGAGAAUUAUCAAGAAUCAAGUCCAUGUCAGAUAGUGUCUUUAUCAGCAUACCAUGAAAUUGCAUCCCCUGAUCAAGACAUGCCAUUGCACCUGCAGCUCCAAAGAGAAUAGCAUAUGUAGAACUUAGAGGACUAAUACCUUGAGUCUGCAUCUCUGAGAACAAAUAGGUAGCUUCAUCAAAAAGCUCAUUUUGGACAUGCCCUGAAAUCAUUGCUGUCCAUGCAACUGCAUCUUUGUCAGGCAUGUUACGGAAUAGAUAGCAUGCUUGGGAUACAUUUCCAGUGCUAAAAUAUCCAUCAACCAUUGAAGUCCAAGUGAUCUUGUCCCGGACAGGCAUGGUAUCAAACAAAUUUUGAGCCUUUUCCAGUUGGCCAAUUCGAAUAUAACCAUUUAUCAUGCAGUUAUAAGACUGGACAAUAUUAUUAUUUGAGUUCUUAUUAAAUAUAAAGUGUGCAGAAUCCAUGAAGCCAAAUGAAGAGUACAUGUAAGUAAGGCUCUUAGAUAACCUGCCAUCAUAAUCAUCAUGAUCUAACCCCUUAAUUAUCAAUUGAGCAUGUAACUGCUUGCCAAGACGAUGAAAUCCAACACCAGCACAAGCAUAAGCAAGUGAAAUGAAAGUCUCUGCAUUUGGUAUUAUGUGGGAGCUCCUCUUCAUCUCAAGAAAAAGCAACAAUGCAUCUUCAUAGAAGCCAUUCCAUGUGAAUCCUCCAAUCAUAGCUGUCCAAGAAACAACGUUUCUCUUAGGAGUCCUCUGAAACAAAAAAUAUCCCUCCUCUACUUCACCUGCCCUACAAUAUCCUGCUAUCAUGCUUGUCCAAGUAAUCACAUUCCUAUCUUCCAUCUCUUCAAAUAAGGCCCUUGCUUCCUCUAUUCUAUCAUUCUCCACGUACCCUUCGAUCAUGGCGUUCCAAGAAACCACAUUCUUGACUGGCAUCUUAUCAAAAACCAACCUUGCAUCCUCCAAAUCUCCAUUUCUGAUUAACCCAACAAUCAUCGCAUUCCAUGAAACAACAUUCCUUUCCGGCAUCUCCUCAAACAACCUUCUUGCCUCACAAAUCCUUCCUGCAUCCGCCAACCCAUAAAGCAUGGAAGUCCAGGAAACAACAUUCCUCUCUGGCAUCUCUUCAAACAACCUGCUUGCCUCACUAAGCUUCCCACACCGCAAAAACCCUGACAACAUUGCAUUAUAACUGACAGUAUUUCUCUCAGGCAUUAUUUCAAAGAGCGCUCGAGCUUCAUCAAUGAAGCCAUUUCUCGAGUAUUUUGUCAGCAACGAAGUCCAAUAAACAAUACGGCUAUGGGGGCUUCUCUCAGGCAUUUUGUUGAGAAGGUUGUUUGCAUCUUGAAUCCUACACUGGGAUAGGCAAUGGAGGAGUUGGUACUCAUUGAUUGUGAACUGAAGGUAAUGGGUUUUCGAAAAUGUUGUCGGGGAAUUGAAAAAGCUAACAUGGAGAGAAAAGAAACGAAGGUAAAAUGAAUUUCUUGGAAGAGAGAAUUUAAGGGCUCUGAGACAAAAGGCGGGCAUUAACAGGUUUGCAAAAGGAGACAGUUAAAAGGUUGCUAUGAAGUAAAAUUUUGUCGAGGGCCGCGUAAGAGUCAAAGCAUGUACCUUUAAAAGGAAAAUAACAAAAUUUUAGUCACUUUCCUUUCGGGGUCUCUAUAUCCUCUCCCACUGUGAGCAACCAACCAUGGAGUUCCUGGAUGAGGACGCAAGACCCAGAUUCUUCUUCCAGUCUCGCCCAAUUCCUUCUUCACUCACCGAUCAGGAAACCCAACAAAACCCCAUUAACAAACCCCUUAUCUUCAUUACAGUUUCCUUCUCUUCCCUUCUAUUGCUUCUUUCUGUUCUUUAUAUCCAAACUGAACCCUUCAAAUCUCUCCUCUUUUGGGUCUCCAUCUCCUUCAUCAUUGGUCCUUUUGCCCCGUCUCGCGUCACUGGCGGUGACAUUCGCGUCGGUCAAGGCCCAAUCGUCGAGCCCCUUGAUGAAGAACCUGAAAUCGUAACUGAGAAGAGAGCGCCCAAAAAGAGAUCGAAAGCGAUCAGAUCUGAAGAAACUGUUACGGCUCCAAUUUCUGCGGUAGAAACGAUAAAUGGGUCGUCAAUUAAGGAAAGAAAGAGAGAAGUUUUGGCAAACAGUGGAAAUGGGUUGGUGACGAAUGAGGGAGAGAAAGAGUGGAGUGAAGAGGAUCUGGAGAUACUGAAGAAACAGAUGGUGAAGAAUCCUGUGGGGAAGCCAAGGAGAUGGGAGGUAAUUGCACAGGCGUUCAAUGGGAAGCAUAGAGUGGAGAGCGUGAUAAAGAAGGCAAAAGAAAUGGGGGAGAGGAAGUUGGAGGAUAAUGAUUCAUAUGCAAGAUUUUUGAAGAACAGGAAACCAUUGGACACAAGAGUUCAAUCUGAGAUUGGUGAAACUAAGAAAGAUAAUGAUGGUGGUGGUGAUGAAACUAAGAAAGAUGGUGACGGUGACGGUGACGGUGACGGUGAUGAUGGUGGAGUGGGGUGGAGUGCAGGGGCGGAUAUUGCAUUGCUAAAAGCUUUAAAAGCAUUUCCUAAGGAUGUGGCAAUGAGGUGGGAGAAGAUUGCAGCUGCAGUUCCUGGCAAGUCAAAGGCAGUUUGUAUGAAGAGAGUUGCUGAUUUGAAAAGGGAUUUUCGGAGUUCAAAAGCUGGUGCUGAGAGUUAGAUGAAAAGUUGGAUAUCUUGACUGUUUACAGAAUUUUGAAUAUGAGGUAGCACUGGGGAGGAAAUACGUGAUUUGAUAUCUCCUUACUCUUGUUCUUCCCUCAUUUUUUUUUAUGAGGAAAGUUACUUCAAAUACUAUUUGAUUUUUGUUCCACACAUGAUGUUUCCUAAAUCUGUUGAAACUUGUUAUAAUAAAACUGAAUGCCUAUUUGGUUAUUGCAAUAUCUUGGUUGAUGAGAGUCAUGUGGUUUUCCUCGUCUCUUCUGCGUACUAAUUAUUUUUAGCACACAAACCAGCUUUGCUAGGGCCAGAUUCUGUGGUUCUUUUGGCUUCCUUGAUGAAUAUCAGUCAGACUGUUGAUCAUCUGAUCAAUUUACUCAUUGGUGAAAUUAAGUGAAUUAAUCUUCUUGGUAUUGGUUAGGUUGGCUAGCAAAAAAUUGCAAUCUUAUGUUGUUAGGGCAACCAUACUGUACCAUAUAAAGGAUUUUCUACGAAUACGCUCACCUUCUUAAUCGUUCAUCAAUUCUCCAUACUGCUUCAUCUUCUGUUCUGUUAACUGUUGUGCUCCACAGCAUAAUUUUAUUUAUCAGAAGAAAGAUAAUAGCUUGUUUGCAAUUUCUAUGGGGAAA
RNAcentral lists this unclassified non-coding RNA (4525 nucleotides) under Hevea brasiliensis (rubber tree). Lineage: Eukaryota; Viridiplantae; Streptophyta; Magnoliopsida; Malpighiales; Euphorbiaceae. The record is from RNAcentral.